Molecule: transfer RNA, 77 nt
Filed under: Arcobacter sp.
Lineage: Bacteria; Pseudomonadati; Campylobacterota; Epsilonproteobacteria; Campylobacterales; Arcobacteraceae
Also listed under: 2 other names
Description: tRNA-Met
Rfam family: tRNA
About the family: Transfer RNA (tRNA) molecules are approximately 80 nucleotides in length. Their secondary structure includes four short double-helical elements and three loops (D, anti-codon, and T loops).
Source: RNAcentral
GUCAAAGUAGCUCAGCUGGUUAGAGCGCUGGUCUCAUAAGCCGGAGGUCGAGGGUUCGAGUCCCUCUUUUGACACCA